AUUGAACGCUGGCGGCAUGCCUUACACAUGCAAGUCGAACGGCAGCGGGGGAGAAGCUUGCUUUUCCUGCCGGCGAGUGGCGAACGGGUGAGUAAUACAUCGGAACGUGCCCUGUAGUGGGGGAUAACUAGUCGAAAGAUUAGCUAAUACCGCAUACGACCUGAGGGUGAAAGUGGGGGGCCGCAAGGCCUCAUGCUCUAGGAGCGGCCGAUGUCUGAUUAGCUAGUUGGUGGGGUAAAGGCCUACCAAGGCGACGAUCAGUAGCUGGUCUGAGAGGACGAUCAGCCACACUGGGACUGAGACACGGCCCAGACUCCUACGGGAGGCAGCAGUGGGGAAUUUUGGACAAUGGGCGAAAGCCUGAUCCAGCAGUGCCGCGUGUGUGAAGAAGGCCUUCGGGUUGUAAAGCACUUUUGUCCGGAAAGAAAUGGCUCUGGUUAAUACCUGGGGUCGAUGACGGUACCGGAAGAAUAAGGACCGGCUAACUACGUGCCAGCCGCCGCGGUAA
This 508-nucleotide ribosomal RNA is filed under the name uncultured bacterium. Its description in RNAcentral is "partial 16S ribosomal RNA". It matches the Rfam family "Bacterial small subunit ribosomal RNA", at positions 30 to 523 of the family's 1533-position model. The record is from RNAcentral.